Molecule: long non-coding RNA, 618 nt
Filed under: Lathyrus oleraceus (garden pea)
Lineage: Eukaryota; Viridiplantae; Streptophyta; Magnoliopsida; Fabales; Fabaceae
Description: Pisum sativum (pea) long non-coding RNA (PSAT_LNC038388)
Source: RNAcentral
AAAGGGGAAGUUUGGGACGAGAGGGACUAAAAUAGUAGUCACCAAACCCAAAGAAAUUUUACUAUGUUAAGGCGAAUUGAUAAUUAAAGGUACUUCCAUGUGUAUAAAAGCACAAGGGGAGGAGGCCCCUAGUCCAAGUAUCAUAGCAUAGGAGGGUGAACUUGGGCUGGGGGGAAGGGGAAGUGGUCCUAUCCGAUGUGGGUGUGCCAGAGGCUACGGUUUUAGCUUAUUUGAAAGUAAAGUCUAAAGUGUGCCUCUCUUCUCGUGAAAGGGAGCUAGCGGUACCGGAAAAACUUCCUUCACUUCAGGCUAGCUACAAUUGGCAUAUCCACCACUUGAAUGAUUCUAGACGUUUUACAGCAAGAGAAAGCAAGCAAGAAAACGACACUAAACAAGCAAUAAUACUGAAGAAGUGGUCACCCACCGCUUAGGCGGGAAUCCAUAGCUAUAGUGGGGAGCCUGUCUCACCUCACUGGGAGUCAGUUACAACAAGAUUGAAACUAGAACUGCGGAACGGACUGAACCAAAGGCUCUUCCCGGGAAGCGACUAGUUAGUUGAGAACCCUCUGCUUCUGACCCACGUAAGUUGCAUGGUCACCUUCCUCAUCCCCUUUUUGA